This 2681-nucleotide long non-coding RNA is filed under the name Centruroides sculpturatus (bark scorpion). Its description in RNAcentral is "uncharacterized LOC111612462". The record is from RNAcentral. Lineage: Eukaryota; Metazoa; Arthropoda; Arachnida; Scorpiones; Buthidae.
AUUUAUGCUACCGUAACCUACAUAUUAACAGAAUACACAAUAUAUUUGUAAUCAUUUGUAUAUUAUAAGUAAAUAAAUAUGUUGGUUUUUUUUUGUAUAUUUUUAAUAAUUUUUAAACAUAAUGUAAGAUUCUAUUGUUAAUUAUAGCAAUUUUUAUUAAGAUAGUCUGAUACUUUAUUGUUUUAGUUGGUAAUUUUAAUGAAUUUAUUGGAUUUGGUUUUUUAUUUUCAAUUUAGAAACAUAAGAAAAGAUAAUCUAAAAUGAAAUUGGUCCACAAGCUAGUUAAAACUUCUUAAAUUACACUAUUUAGACUUCAUUGCAAUCAUGAUCUUCAAAUGUGUUAUGAUUCCAAACUAUUUGCAAGUCAACUUGUUAAGUAAUUCAGUGUCAAAUUAAUGGUUCGGUUAAAAUAUAAGCAACGCAAAAAUUUAUUUAAUAGGAUACAUAUGUAUAAACCAAUAAUAUGUCUCCACAUUGUAGAUCUGCGCAAAUUGUUUUUUAUUGAUGAAACAUUUCUAUGGCAAAUAUUUUCUUAUACAAAUGAUACAUGGCAAUGCACAAUGAGCAAAAUAAGCCAUCCCCACGUUAACGAUGAAAAAAAUACCCAACAUUCACAUUUCUUAACCAUAAAAAUUUUAAAUUUCAGUACGUUUACCCAACUUAAAAUAUUAUCUUAAAAAUUAAGGAUUGUGUAUAUUGUUUAUCAAAGUUAAAAAAUUUAAUUUUUAAGAUACAUAAGAAUUAAAGGUGAGAAUUUUGAAAUUUUUUUUCCACUAUUUAUUCAACAUUUUAAAAUAAAGAGCAGAUAAAACAUAACAAUUAGUUAUUACUACAGAAAAAUAGAUUAAUGAAAAUAAAUAGAAGAUUGUGUCAGAGAUUGAGAAAUGAAACAAUCCAAUAGAAGAAGAAAAAAAAUAAAUUAAUGAAAAUGGUAAAUAAUGAUGAUAUAUAAAGGGAAAAUAUAGAUCAUUAAGUAAAAAAGUAAAGUAUUAAAUUGAUGAUAUUAGAUUGAAGACACACGCAAGUGUGGAAAGUGUAACCUUUCGUACAUUUGAGGUUGUGUUUACUAUAUAAAUAGUAGUAUAAAUAAGUAUAAAUUUACAAAAUUGGAAAAUUAGAAUUUUAAAAAUUACAAAAACUAUAAGAAUUCUUAUGAAAGGGCUUUAUCAUAUUUAGUAGUAAAUUAAUACAGUCCAACAACAAGCAAACUACAGAUUUGAUAAAACUAACUCUGGCAGUGGCCUAUAAGUAAAGGUCUUUUGUGAGGUGUGCUCUUUGUCAUUUAUGGAACUAUUUCAUCAAUUAUGAAUGUUAUGGUUCUUUUAAAAUAAUAGAAUUUUACUUUUUAAAGUGUUAUCUAUUUGUCUAUAAAAAUCUAAUAUAAACAUAGGUAUGGUAAUAGAUCCCAAGUUAGUAGAAAUAAGCAAUUGAUGUAGACAGAGAAAUGCUUAAUUGCCUAAAAAUUUUACGUAGAUGGCAUAAUAAUAAUUGAUGAUAGUGAAAUAAUCAGAAUGACAUUAGAAUUCAAUAAUUUAAAUAACAUUAAAUUUGAAAUGUAAGCAGUUUUUUUAGAUGGUUACAAUAAUAUUUUUUAAAUAUUAAUUAUUUAGAUGUUACAAUUGAAAAUUUUUUAAAAAGUAUGAAAAGCAUAUGUACAAAAGACAAUACCAUAUGAAGUUUAUUGUCACUAAAUUGAUCUAAUUUUAUUAAAAGAAGUAUAGUAUAGAAAUGUAUGUGAAACAACUAGAUCAAAUGAGAGGUUAAGAGGAAAAUAAUUUGGUUAAAAGUAGUAGAUAAAUGGUUAUAUAAGAAUAGUUCUAAUGUUAAACACAGUGGUGUUGGUAAUCAUUCGUAUUUAUAAUUCCCUUAUGUUAGACCUACUUAUCUAACUUUUUAUAUUUACUUAUUAUAUGUAUAAGUUCAGGAUUAUAAAGAAAGUGUAAAUUAAUAAAAACAAAACAAAUAAAAUUUGGAUAAAAUGGAAAUAAGUGGCAUAGUAUGUACAUGUGAAAAUAAAAAAUACUAUAUAGCCGAAAAAGAAAGGAAAUUGAAAGUUUGCAUUUUCGUGUUUUUUAAAUUUCAGUCGGAUCAAAUACAAAUUACUGUGGUAUUUUCAUUGUAAGAGUACAAACUAAUAUUGAUUAAAAUAGUGUCAUUGUAUUAUGUAAAGAAAAAAAAUUCAUUAAUUUAAAUAGUCUGAAUGUAGACAAAUGUUGGGAUGAUGUCAUACAUCAAAAUUCCGAAAGUAGAACAGUUAAAAUGUUGAAAUAUAACUUUAAAAGCUUUAAGGGAGCAAUGUUAAAUAGGACUUGUUGAAACAGGUGGUUUGUGUUUUAAGAUGUAAGUAAUGUUGGUUAAUGUAAACAACUGUAAAAUUUAAUAAUUACUGUAGAAAAGUUGAAGUAAAAACAAGACUUGCGAAAAUGAAUACAAUAGGUGGCCUUAAGGGUACUGGUUGUAAAAAAUUUAUUUAAAAAUUGUGGAUAAGGUUAGAUAAUUGUAAAAUUUAUUAUUGUAGAAAAAUGAAGGCCAGACUGUAUCACUGUCCAAAUGCGUAUUUUACAUUGGAAUUACAAAAUUCUUUACUUUAAAAUAAUACGUAUAUUAAGUUGUAAUAUUUGGUCAAUAUUGUAAAAUACUCUUCUGCAUAUAAAGUAAUCACCAGGCUCAAUAAUAUUAGU